UUCUUCACCACACACCACAACUACUAUACUCCCAAAAUGUCUCUUACAAUCCCCACUAACCUCUCCAAAUCCCUUUUGAAGCCAAAGCUAAACUCCAAACUCACCCCCAAAGUUUCACGAUCAUUGGUGGUAUGCUCCACCGACAAGACUUCAUCGCCACCAUCAUCAGCUUCAUCACUCCAAGCCUUCUCAGCAGCUCUUGCUCUUUCUUCCAUUCUUCUCUCAGCCCCACAGCCUGCCGUAGCUGAUAUUGCAGGCCUCACACCAUGCAAAGAGUCCAAGC
Molecule: long non-coding RNA, 283 nt
Filed under: Gossypium barbadense (sea-island cotton)
Lineage: Eukaryota; Viridiplantae; Streptophyta; Magnoliopsida; Malvales; Malvaceae
Description: long non-coding RNA (GBAR_LNC005624)
Source: RNAcentral